GGGGGGAGGGUCAAACCUUCUUGAAAACAAUAUUGCUAUUCAACUAUUAAGCUAGUUAGCUACUACUCAUUGCUUCUAAUAUAAACCGUUUAAAUGAAGGUGGCUAAGCAACAAGGGAGAACCUUUUUUCUUUCUUUGCGAUAAAACUUUCAAAAGUUAGAUUUUUCUCUCUCAAUAAUACUUAUGUAUUUAAAUUAAAUGAUAAC
This 206-nucleotide long non-coding RNA is filed under the name Mytilus galloprovincialis (Mediterranean mussel). The record is from RNAcentral. Lineage: Eukaryota; Metazoa; Mollusca; Bivalvia; Mytilida; Mytilidae.